UACGUAGGGUGCGAGCGUUGUCCGGAAUUAUUGGGCGUAAAGAGCUUGUAGGUGGCUCGUUGCGUCGGGAGUGAAAACCUGCGGCUUAACCGCAGGCCUGCUUCCGAUACGGGCGAGCUAGAGUUCGGCAGGGGAGACUGGAAUUCCUGGUGUAGCGGUGGAAUGCGCAGAUAUCAGGAGGAACACCGGUGGCGAAGGCGGGUCUCUGGGCCGAUACUGACACUGAGAAGCGAAAGCGCGGGGAGCGAACAGG
RNAcentral lists this ribosomal RNA (253 nucleotides) under uncultured bacterium. RNAcentral describes it as "partial 16S ribosomal RNA". It matches the Rfam family "Bacterial small subunit ribosomal RNA", at positions 524 to 776 of the family's 1533-position model. The record is from RNAcentral.